AGAUGGAAAGAAAAAGUAUCCUCUACUUGCACCCAGUUAGAAUCAUCAAUCAUUUCACUUGUAGUUUGGAAUAAAGAAAGAAUUUCUAGACUUAAUUGUGUACAUUCACCUAUUUCUUUUGUAAUAAUGAAAGAGACCUCUUAACAUCAAUGCAUC
This is a long non-coding RNA of Telopea speciosissima, 156 nucleotides long. RefSeq lists it as uncharacterized. The transcript has 3 exons. NCBI's taxonomy places the organism in Eukaryota, Viridiplantae, Streptophyta, Magnoliopsida, Proteales, Proteaceae. The record is from RefSeq and is a predicted model, not a curated record.